AUUGAACGCUGGCGGCAGGCCUAACACAUGCAAGUCGAACGAGUGGCGGACGGGUGAGUAAUGUAUGGGAAUCUGCCUGAUGGAGGGGGAUAACUACUGGAAACGGUAGCUAAUACCGCAUACCAUCGGAUGUGCCCAUAUGGGAUUAGCUAGUAGGUGGGGUAAAGGCUCACCAAGGCGACGAUCCCUAGCUGGUCUGAGAGGAUGACCAGCCACACUGGAACUGAGACACGGUCCAGACUCCUACGGGAGGCAGCAGUGGGGAAUAUUGCACAAUGGGCGCAAGCCUGAUGCAGCCAUGCCGCGUGUGUGAAGAAGGCCUUCGGGUUGUAAAGCACUUUCAGCGGGGAGGCGUUACCCGCAGAAGAAGCACCGGCUAACUCCGUGCCAGCAGCCGCGGUAAUAC
RNAcentral lists this ribosomal RNA (406 nucleotides) under uncultured bacterium. Its description in RNAcentral is "partial 16S ribosomal RNA". It matches the Rfam family "Bacterial small subunit ribosomal RNA", at positions 30 to 526 of the family's 1533-position model. The record is from RNAcentral.